CAUAGUAUUGCACCAGUCCAUCUUGGGGUUGUUAGAUGUCAACAGUUUAAGAAGAGGCAUCACAUGCGAUUGUUGAAGGUAUUUGCAGACUUGGAGAAAGUCCUUUCCUUGAAGUGGAGAUGUCCACCACAGGAAGCCUUCCACUGA
Molecule: long non-coding RNA, 147 nt
Organism: Cervus elaphus (red deer)
Lineage: Eukaryota; Metazoa; Chordata; Mammalia; Artiodactyla; Cervidae
Exons: 3
Source: RefSeq, a predicted model, not a curated record